UUAUUACUUGUUAUACGAGUUUACAACUCUAACUUAUAGCUUGUUUACACUUUACUCGACAACUCUCUUAUUAGAACUGUGUCUUGCUGCCAGCUCGGCAGUCCUUAUAUAGUCGAUUGUAAGCGAUACAACGCCAUUCGAACAUUCUGGCAACUACGAAUAUCGAUGUCUGGAUACAUCUGGCAAGUUAUCCUUUUCGAAUGUCAAUUCUAGUUUGUUCUGGUGCCAUUUUCGUUAUAGUAUUAUACCCAGCAAGCCAUGGGUUUCUGAAACUCUAACACAUUUAAAGAAAUUUUAAUAUCACCACUACAUACACACAUUUGCAACAAAGGGCAAAAGAUAUUUCAAACCUCAUACGGCGCGUUAAAGGUGCGCAACCUCAUUGGUGUCACUUAUGGUAGCAGUGUAGAACUUUCGAAGCGAUGGAAUGCUGGAUGGAUGCUGCAAGUGAAUCCAGAACUAUGGAUGCAAACGCUGCUUCAUCGAACACAAAUUAUUUACACACCAGAUAUUAGGUUUAAUGUCACUUUUUUUUACGUGCAAUUAAACCUUUUGGUCAACGCAAGCACGUGAAGAAUUGGAACGACAUGGUUUAGAUGUGUUUGUAACCGUUUAUAAAUGGGUUUUGCAAAUGAGCUAGAGGACAAAGCAGUUGCAGUAUUUUUGGACUUACCGGCACCUCAAUUGGUCGUGCCACUAGCAGCUAAAACACUGAAAUUAAAGGAGGACACUUUCCAUGCCACACGGGGAAUUUGAGAUUUGCCACUCUUCCUCCAGCCUUUGUCCGAUAGCAAAAAUUGUCCAACUAUUCAAUAAUAUAUACUUAUGCAGAAUUGGAACGUACAUAUGUAUAUAGUGUAGUACGAUUAUACAUGUAAAAAUUAAAUGUAAUAAUAAACACCUAAA
Long non-coding RNA from Zeugodacus cucurbitae (melon fly), 906 nucleotides. RefSeq lists it as uncharacterized. Lineage: Eukaryota; Metazoa; Arthropoda; Insecta; Diptera; Tephritidae. The record is from RefSeq and is a predicted model, not a curated record. The transcript has 3 exons.